UGUGAGAUGCAUGGUUAUUAUCAU
Molecule: non-coding RNA, 24 nt
Filed under: Arabidopsis thaliana (thale cress)
Lineage: Eukaryota; Viridiplantae; Streptophyta; Magnoliopsida; Brassicales; Brassicaceae
Source: RNAcentral